GACGAACGCUGGCGGCGUGCUUAACACAUGCAAGUCGAACGGAAAGGCCCUGCUUGCAGGGUACUCGAGUGGCGAACGGGUGAGUAACACGUGGGUGCUCUGCCCUGCACUUCGGGAUAAGCCUGGGAAACUGGGUCUAAUACCGGAUAGGAGCCAUUUUUAGUGUGAUGGUUGGAAAGUUUUUUCGGUGUAGGAUGAGCUCGCGGCCUAUCAGCUUGUUGGUGGGGUAAUGGCCUACCAAGGCGGCGACGGGUAGCCGGCCUGAGAGGGUGGACGGCCACAUUGGGACUGAGAGACGGCCCAGACUCCUACGGGAGGCAGCAGUGGGGAAUAUUGCACAAUGGGCGCAAGCCUGAUGCAGCGACGCCGCGUGGGGGAUGACGGCCUUCGGGUUGUAAACUCCUUUCGCUAGGGACGAAGCUUUUUGUGACGGUACCUAGAUAAGAAGCACCGGCUAACUACGUG
This 465-nucleotide ribosomal RNA is filed under the name uncultured bacterium. RNAcentral describes it as "partial 16S ribosomal RNA". It matches the Rfam family "Bacterial small subunit ribosomal RNA", at positions 28 to 507 of the family's 1533-position model. The record is from RNAcentral.